Molecule: unclassified non-coding RNA, 198 nt
Filed under: rhizosphere metagenome
Description: partial ribosomal RNA internal transcribed spacer region
Source: RNAcentral
GAGUUAGGGCCCCCAGGGGCCCGACCUCCAACCCUCUGUGUACCUACCGCGUUGCUUUGGCGGGCCCGCGGCCUCGGCCGCCGCCGGCUUCGGUCGGACCGCGCCCGCCAGAGGACAGCCAAACUCUUGUCAAUCAGUGCAGUCUGAGCUUCAAAUGGAUAACAUUUUAAAACUUUCAACAACGGAUCUCUUGGUUCU